Long non-coding RNA from Gallus gallus (chicken), 1109 nucleotides. The record is from Ensembl. Lineage: Eukaryota; Metazoa; Chordata; Aves; Galliformes; Phasianidae.
CUGGAUGCUUCUGAGGAGUGCUGCUCAUGAAAGAUGAAUACUGUUUGGAGAAAGGAUGAGGAUAUUACAGACAUCCUGCUCUGCCCUUGACCUUCACUGCAGAGUCAUUGCACUGUGGCCUUGCUGAAUUGCCAGCAGAUAUUAGUACAACCUAGAAACAUUCUCUGAACUGGGAUUGCAAAUAAUGCUCAAUAACACAAGGCUGAAAUAACAACAGUGGGCAUUAGAGAAUAUGCUGGGAUGCCCUACCUCCAUUGGAGAGCAACUUUCAUCUCCAGCCCAGCAGUAAUAUGGCAUUACCAGUGCAAUAAAGAACUGAGUUACAUCACCAUCCUAAACAGAGGACGAGAGAAAUUACAAAGUCUGCUAUCACUAUUUCAACUCUUGGGCUCUUUCAAGAGAAAAUUGGUUCUUGUAUCCUCUCAAUAAUUUAGUCUACAGCAGAGAAUGGUAUUUACCAGAAAAAACUGCAGAGCAUUUCAUCCUCUCAUCCAGCAAAUGGCCUGUGUUUCUUUUGUUUGUCCCUAGAACUGUGGAAGUGCUACCACUUUACAUUUGACUAAACGCAUUCCUUAGGUAUUAUAAUAUAAAAGUACCGUGUUUACUGAGUGAGUGGUCAGGGACUAUGUAAAAAUUGUAGCCAAAUGGCUCCCAGUUGUACACUUCUUUCGUAUCCUCAGGCAUCCUUUUACUGAAAUGGCAGCACAUCAACCACUGCAGAAAAGCUGAAUCUUGAGGACAGCAUAGCUGUGAUGCUGCCAUAUCAGAGCUAAUUACUCUUAGGUUUCCACUUGGCUAAUUAGCUUCCACGUAACGCAACAGUAUCACAUUCAUUUCAUUUUUAGUUGCAGAUCUAUGUUGGACAGUGCUUGUCUCAGGGAAGGAACCUCUGCAAACUACAGAACUCUUCUGUGCAAGGUACGCAUAUGCUGGUUUAGUGUAAAUCUAAUUGAAAGUACUAUUGCAAUGGCAUAUAAUGCAACCUUUAGUGCCCAAUUGCUUGUCCACAACAAGUGGAACACAUUCUGUAUAUCUACAUUAAGAGGCUGGUUAAUUUGUUUGUCACAUGGGAUGCUAUGUUCAGAUUUGUUGAUACCACUUUCUGAUAA